Molecule: long non-coding RNA, 1701 nt
Filed under: Apis dorsata (giant honeybee)
Lineage: Eukaryota; Metazoa; Arthropoda; Insecta; Hymenoptera; Apidae
Description: uncharacterized LOC116185861
Source: RNAcentral
GGGAGAACAGUACCCUUUAUAGUAAUAUCUAAACUUAAUUGUAACUAUUAACGAUACGUACGACUGUGGUAGCUAUGCUAGUACCUGCUAUUGUUAAAGAGAGAGAGGGGGAGAGAUUGGAGAGAGAGAAAAAGAGAGAAAGAGAGAGAGAAAGAGAGAGAGAGAAAGGAAUGAGGAGAAGGACAGAGAGAGAGAGAGAAAGGAACGAGAUAUAGAGCAUACAUUGAGAUACAUACAAAAAUAAAUAAACAUAUAGUAUUAUACGAUUACAAUACGAUUGUAAUGAAACACUUUGUAAGCAAGGAAACAAAAAAAGAAAAAAAAAAUUAAGCAUAGUUUUCCAUAAUCUGUAAUGGAUGUAUUCGUUAACGAAUAAAAAAAAAAUGAGGACGAGUGGUUAAGGAUAAUACACACACGGACACGAACACACAUGACACACACUGUACACGAACACACAGUUGAAUAACCGUUCGAAGUAACUCGGGUACACGACACACAAGAAGUAAUAUGAAAAAAAGAAUAAAAAAAGUAACUAAUAAUUAAUAAACACGUGAGUAACGUGACGACGUAAACAAACGGUAAAUCUGUCUCUUUAAAGUAUCAUGUGUCUAUAAACUAUAGCGAUCGAUAUUGUCUUUUUAACCGUAAAUGGAGAAACAAGUAAUCGUGGUAACGUAACUAAUGUCAUAGCGAUAACCGAACACUGCAAUAUUAGAUAUAAUAUAUAUUCAUACAUUUAUAGAGAGAAAAGUGAGGGGAAAGGGAGUGAGGAAGAAAAAGAGAGUAAAGAAAAUUGUGCGAGGCUCUGACGCGCGUGAUUAGGAAAAAAAAAAAAAAAAAGAAAAAAAAAUGGAACAGAGAAAAAUUCGAAACAAUUCGAGACGAUGUAUCAUCGAUUCGUUCUCGAAAGCUUUUCUUCGUUGGAUGAAAAAAGUUUGGAUGAAAAAAAAAAAGAAAAAAGGAGAAAAAGGGAACAGAAAUAAGAAUACACGCGCACACGCGUGUAAAGAGGGAGAACGAUUCGAACAACAAAAUGAUGCGAGACUCGCGUGUCAGAGCGGAAGUGAGCAAACGUGAUACGAUCUCCAGGCACAGUUGAAAAGAGAAAGCCGUUUCAUGUUGAAAAAUGAAAAAAGAAAAAAAAAAGAAAAAAAAAAAAAGAAAAGCAGCAAGAGUAAAGCAAAAUGAAAGCUGAAUGGAAGCGAACAAUAUUAAAUAUGCGUUUUGUGUAUCGGACACACUCGAAGCUACACACUCACGCGCACACACAGACAGCAAAGACACUACUACUACUACACAUACACACACACGCACACGACACACGGAGAAACACAAAGAAAGACCCAAAAAAAAAAAAAAAACCUAUCGAUUAUUCUACCAAAUAAUGAAUUAACAAGAGGAUGAUCAUUAGAUUUGUAAUUAAUUACAUAUAUAUUUUUCAAUACUUUAACUACUUGCUGAAUGUAAACUAUAUACAUAUAUAAUUAUAUAUUAUAUAUAUUAUAUAUAUAUUAUAUAUACACACACAUACCGCGUAGGGCUGUAUCUCGAUUACAGCGUGGCGUAGAAGGCCGGCCCGUCGACUUCCGGUUCUCAACAAGAUCGCAGCGACCCUCGACGAACACCGUCAAAAAACGAUGCGAACAGAAUCGUAACGGGAAACAAGGCGAAUUGGCAACACAGACACACAGUGUAAAAAAA